RNAcentral lists this ribosomal RNA (460 nucleotides) under uncultured bacterium. Its description in RNAcentral is "partial 16S ribosomal RNA". It matches the Rfam family "Bacterial small subunit ribosomal RNA", at positions 338 to 795 of the family's 1533-position model. The record is from RNAcentral.
CCUACGGGUGGCAGCAGUGAGGAAUAUUGGUCAAUGGACGCAAGUCUGAAGCAGCCAUGCCGCGUGCAGGAAGACGGCUCUAUGAGUUGUAAACUGCUUUUGUAAGAGGGUAAAUGCCGAUACCCGUCUAUGUCUGAAAGUAUCGAACGAAUAAGGCACGGCCAACUCCGUGCCAGCCGCCGCGGUAACACGGAGGAUUCAAGCGUUAUGAGGAGUUAUUGGGGGUAAAGGGUGCGUAGGCGGUCGGAUAAGUUAGAGGUGAAAUCCCGAGGCUCAACUUCGGAAUUGCCUCUGAUACUGUUCGGCGAGAGAGUAGGUGCGGUAGGCGGAAUGUAUGGUGUAGCGGUGAAAUGCUUAGAGAUCAUACAGAACACCGAUUGCGAAGGCAGCUUACCAAGCUACUUCUGACGUUGAGGCACGAAAGCGUGGGGAGCAAACAGGAUUAGAUACCCGAGUAGUC